Small nucleolar RNA from Octodon degus (degu), 132 nucleotides. The record is from Ensembl. Lineage: Eukaryota; Metazoa; Chordata; Mammalia; Rodentia; Octodontidae.
AGCCUUAUUCUGGGUUAGAAUGGGCACUGUUGAUUGGUGUCCAGAAUUGGUGAAUGUGGCUACAAUUGAGACACAGGUCAGGCUUCCAUCAUCGUAGUAUUUACAGUGGUGACAAUGAAGUCUGUAACAUUC